UACGUAGGGGGCGAGCGUUGUCCGGAAUCACUGGGCGUAAAGGGCGCGCAGGCGGUCAUGCAAGUCGGCUGUGAAAGGUCAGGGCUCAACUCUGACAUGUCGGCCGAUACUGUAUGGCUUGAGGGCAAGAGAGGGAGGCGGAAUUCCCGGUGGAGCGGUGAAAUGCGUAGAUAUCGGGAGGAACACCAGUGGCGAAGGCGGCUUCCUGGAUUGCACCUGACGCUGAGGCGCGAAAGCUGGGGGAGCAAACGGGAUUAGAUACC
Molecule: ribosomal RNA, 263 nt
Filed under: uncultured bacterium
Lineage: Bacteria
Description: partial 16S ribosomal RNA
Rfam family: Bacterial small subunit ribosomal RNA
Source: RNAcentral